Molecule: ribosomal RNA, 588 nt
Filed under: Triticum aestivum (bread wheat)
Lineage: Eukaryota; Viridiplantae; Streptophyta; Magnoliopsida; Poales; Poaceae
Description: partial small subunit ribosomal RNA
Source: RNAcentral
AUGUCACCACAAACAGAAACUAAAGCAGGUGUUGGAUUUCAAGCUGGUGUUAAAGAUUAUAAAUUGACUUACUACACCCCAGAGUAUGAAACUAAGGAUACUGAUAUCUUGGCAGCAUUCCGAGUAAGUCCUCAGCCUGGGGUUCCGCCCGAAGAAGCAGGGGCUGCAGUAGCUGCCGAAUCUUCUACUGGUACAUGGACAACUGUUUGGACUGAUGGACUUACCAGUCUUGAUCGUUACAAAGGACGAUGCUAUCACAUCGAGCCUGUUGCUGGGGAAGACAACCAAUGGAUCUGUUAUGUAGCUUAUCCAUUAGACCUAUUUGAAGAGGGUUCCGUUACUAACAUGUUUACUUCCAUUGUAGGUAACGUAUUUGGUUUCAAAGCCCUACGUGCUCUACGUUUGGAGGAUCUACGAAUUCCCCCUACUUAUUCAAAAACUUUCCAAGGCCCGCCUCAUGGUAUCCAAGUUGAAAGAGAUAAGUUGAACAAGUAUGGUCGUCCUUUAUUGGGAUGUACUAUUAAACCAAAAUUCGGAUUAUCCGCAAAAAAUUAUGGUAGAGCGUGUUAUGAGUGUCUACGUGGUGGA